Molecule: long non-coding RNA, 2185 nt
Organism: Oncorhynchus tshawytscha (Chinook salmon)
Lineage: Eukaryota; Metazoa; Chordata; Actinopteri; Salmoniformes; Salmonidae
Exons: 3
Source: RefSeq, a predicted model, not a curated record
AGAGGAGAGGAGAGGAGAGGAGAGAGGAGAGGAGAGGAGAACAUGAUUGCCAUAAUUUUCAGAUAUAAAUUAGCUGGACUCCCGGACCCAGAUUCCCCAGGCAUAAAAAUCAAUUGAGUAUCUCCAGUAGGCUGCAGAAAGGGGAGAGGAGACCCGUAGAUUAGCCCUCCACUGGUCCACUGGGCCAAUCAGGAAGCGUCUGUUGUGGGUGUGACGCGUCUGUCGACGUAUCCUAUAUUACGAUUGGUUUACCAAGCUGCUUGUUAAAAGGAGCGCCUCUAUUUUGAGGAAGUUUUAGGACAUCGUCAAGAUAUUGAAAUGACAACAGCUAUUGUAGAUAGCUAUGGAUGUGAAAGCGGAUCUAUUUAAAACCAAAUGAGAAAGCUGUGGAAUUGUUGACAAACUAACAAGGUAGAUGACAACGUGGGUCUGCUGCUGUCAGAGCUGAAGCGGUUGGCGUUGUGGGGGCGUGUCAACGUCAUCGUCACCAGCGACCAGGGAAUGGCCCAGUAUUACACUGAUCGCAUCAUCAGACUGGACGAAUGUCAUCACCCUGACAACUACUCAGUAGUAGACCUAACCCUUGCUGCUAUCAUACCCAAUGGAGCUAUACACACACACACACACACAUAUACUCAUUGUGAGUGAGAAGUUUAUGACUAGUUAAAGGAGAUUCUGGUUAAUGUGUCAGCUGCUGGGGCUGCCACUGGCGCCAAACAACUGAUCUCUGUCCCAGGCACGCUGCUUCCUGGCUGGGGAGGGCUGUGUCGACACCCCCCUAAUGGUGGGACUGGUGGUGGGGGUACUGCUGGUUCUCACCACACUCACAGGUCUGUUCAAGUUGUGGAGGCCACGGCGUCAGUCUGCCUCUCGUCCCUUCCAACACAUCUCGAUACAGAACGAUGAUGUUGAUGAUGCUGACCCUCUGCUAGACUAAAUUAAUCAAUCACAGCUCCCAGCCCGACUAUAAUGACCAACCACAGAUCAUAACAACAAACCAUGCAGCAAAACAAGCAACAAACCAAAGCUUACCACCAUGCUCCCAACAACCAGUCAGAACUCAAAUGGGAAUAAAUAGGGAAUAGUGUAAUUUCAGACACAGCCAUACUCUUUUACAAGAGUUACAGAGCGGUAGUCAGAUUUCAGAUUUAUACACUCCUCAUUCUCUAUGGUACAAUACUUACAGUAUGGAGUAUUCAAAUAAAUAUGUACACUAUAAAUAAACAUAUUGAACCAUAAAUAGAUAAAACUAAAGAAAUAAGACACUAAAGAGAACAGUCAAUUAGUAGAAACAGACUGGGGUUACUUGAAUUUGUCUGUAUACAGAGAAACCAUCUAAUAUGAUACAACUAGUGUUUAUAUAUUUGAAGAAAUGCUCUGUUAAUUUUUUUGCAAGACAAUCCUAUAAAGAAGAAUACAUGUUUGCUAGGAGAGCUUCUGGUAAAGGGAUGUAAAUUUGUAUUUUGAAGAGUUUAUUUCCUAAAGAGUACCGCUAUAUUGCAGAAGUAGCAGUAGUAAUUGUUUGAACAGCAGUGAUGGGUUUUGUUAGCUACUCUGUAGACUGCUGAGCCAGGGAGUGGAGUCAGAAGCAGGACUGAAGCUAUGUUUCUGCUGUUUGUUAGUCAGUUAAUUUGAUUAUAUUUAGAAGUGUGUGUGUCUGUGUGUGCUGAGGUAAGCUAUAGCUCUGGUACUGUAUGGUUUCCUGUAGUGUUAAAAGGAGACAGACGAGCCAUAUUGUUCGAUUCAGGUCCUUUAUCUGAAAAUAAGUUAUUGAAGGAAAACAGUUUCAGUUUGUCUGAUUCUCUGGUCAAGCCACUGUGUGUGCGUGUGCCCGCGUGUGUGUGUUGGCAGAGAAAGGCUGUGUGCCUGUGUGUGUGUUUGUCGGUGUAGAGAAGUCAAAGAUCUGCUGUUACUAUGGUUACUAUACCAUAGUAACCAUAGUACUAUGAUUAAUAUGCUGUAACUGUGCUGUUAUUAUGGUUACUGCACAGUAACUCUACUGUUACUAUGUCAACCGCCCACCUCCAUGUGACUACUGAACUGGUCCUCAGGGUGUUUCUGCUCAUAUUGUCAUUGACUGACAUAUGAAGCGUAAAGUAAACCUAAAUGUUGUAUCCACAUUGUAUCAUUAUUUUUGCAAAGCAUCUAUGAUUAAUCAUUACACUGGAUAUAACUGAUGUGUGUG